AAUAUUUAUCAAUCUGACUGUCGAUACAAAAACUAAAGAAAUGAUACUUCCGAUGAAUAAUGGAUAAAACAUAAUCGACGAUCCCGGCUGAAUGGACAAAGGUCAAUGCAAUGUUACGCGAGUCGGGUUCGCAUACCUAUUUUUGUUUUAUCAAUUUCGUUAUCGAUCUAUUUCCGGUAUUAUGUUACUAAUAUUUAUCGUCUGGUCAUUGGUGUUUUUACUCGCUGACUAUUGGUUUCUUU
RNAcentral lists this long non-coding RNA (242 nucleotides) under Mytilus galloprovincialis (Mediterranean mussel). The record is from RNAcentral. Lineage: Eukaryota; Metazoa; Mollusca; Bivalvia; Mytilida; Mytilidae.